This is a small nuclear RNA of Fukomys damarensis (Damara mole-rat), 140 nucleotides long. Its record names the gene U4. It matches the Rfam family "U4 spliceosomal RNA". Rfam says of the family: U4 small nuclear RNA (U4 snRNA) is a component of the major U2-dependent spliceosome. The structure of U4 snRNA from yeast and human has been reported. Lineage: Eukaryota; Metazoa; Chordata; Mammalia; Rodentia; Bathyergidae. The record is from Ensembl.
AGCUUUGCACAGUGGCAUUAUCAUAGCCAAUGAGAUUUAUCUGAGUUGUGAUUAUUGCCAAUUGAAAAGCAAAACCAUAAGACAUUUACUUUAGCUAACAAAUACAGGUGGAAUGCAAUUACCAAAGUAGUUCACAAACA